GAAUACCGCGUGAAGGCAGGAAGGCUCUUGGGUUGUCAACCUCUUUUCUCCGGGAAUAAAAAAAUGAAGGUCACCUCAGGAAUAAGCAUCGGCUAACUCCGUGCCAGCAGCCGCGGUAAUACGGAGGAUGCAAGCGUUAUCCGGAAUGAUUGGGCGUAAAGCGUCCGCAGGUGGCUAUGUAAGUCUGCUGUUAAAGAGGGCUCAACCUUGUAAAGGCAGUCGAAACUACAUAGCUAGAGUGCGUUCGGGGCAGAGGGAAUUCCUGGUGUAGCGGUGAAAUGCGUAGAUAUCAGGAAGAACACCGGUGGCGAAAGCGCUCUGCUAGGCCGCAACUGACACUGAGGGACGAAAGCUAGGGGAGCGAAUGGGAUUAGAUACCCCAGUAGUCCUAGCCG
Molecule: ribosomal RNA, 395 nt
Filed under: Cylindrospermum sp. BHU008
Lineage: Bacteria; Bacillati; Cyanobacteriota; Cyanophyceae; Nostocales; Nostocaceae
Description: bacterial SSU rRNA
Rfam family: Bacterial small subunit ribosomal RNA
Source: RNAcentral